This 502-nucleotide ribosomal RNA is filed under the name Penicillium sp. N51. RNAcentral's name for it is "SSU rRNA". It matches the Rfam family "Eukaryotic small subunit ribosomal RNA", at positions 65 to 571 of the family's 1831-position model. The record is from RNAcentral. Lineage: Eukaryota; Fungi; Ascomycota; Eurotiomycetes; Eurotiales; Aspergillaceae.
AUAAGCACUUGUACUGUGAAACUGCGAAUGGCUCAUUAAAUCAGUUAUCGUUUAUUUGAUAGUACCUUACUACAUGGAUACCUGUGGUAAUUCUAGAGCUAAUACAUGCUAAAAACCCCGACUUCAGGAAGGGGUGUAUUUAUUAGAUAAAAAACCAACGCCCUUCGGGGCUCCUUGGUGAAUCAUAAUAACUUAACGAAUCGCAUGGCCUUGCGCCGGCGAUGGUUCAUUCAAAUUUCUGCCCUAUCAACUUUCGAUGGUAGGAUAGUGGCCUACCAUGGUGGCAACGGGUAACGGGGAAUUAGGGUUCGAUUCCGGAGAGGGAGCCUGAGAAACGGCUACCACAUCCAAGGAAGGCAGCAGGCGCGCAAAUUACCCAAUCCCGAUACGGGGAGGUAGUGACAAUAAAUACUGAUACGGGGCUCUUUUGGGUCUCGUAAUUGGAAUGAGAACAAUUUAAAUCCCUUAACGAGGAACAAUUGGAGGGCAAGUCUGGGCCAAC